GUGAAUUGCAAUUCAGUGAAUCAUCGAGUCUUUGAACGCACAUUGCGCCCCCUGGUAUUCCGGGGGGCAUGCCUGUCCGAGCGUCAUUGCUGCCCUCAAGCACGGCUUGUGUGUUGGGCCCCGUCCUCCGAUCCCGGGGGACGGGCCCGAAAGGCAGCGGCGGCACCGCGUCCGGUCCUCGAGCGUAUGGGGCUUUGUCACCCGCUCUGUAGGCCCGGCCGGCGCUUGCCGAUCAACCCAAAUUUUUAUCCAGGUUGACCUCGGAUCAGGUAGGGAUACCCGCUGAACUUAAGCAUAUCAAUAAGCGGAGG
Molecule: ribosomal RNA, 311 nt
Filed under: Penicillium chrysogenum
Lineage: Eukaryota; Fungi; Ascomycota; Eurotiomycetes; Eurotiales; Aspergillaceae
Description: eukaryotic LSU rRNA
Rfam family: 5.8S ribosomal RNA (bases 1-86)
Source: RNAcentral